UGAGUACGAGACGCUAAGGCGUUGAAGUGGUGUAUGUCAUACUUCCAAGAAAAGCUUGCACUGUCAUAAAUAAAGAAUGCCUGUACCAUAACCGACACAGGUGGGUAGGUAGAGUAUACUAAGGGGCGCGAGAUAACUCUCUCUAAGGAACUCGGCAAAAUGACUCCGUAACUUCGGGAGAAGGAGUGCCUUAUUCGUAAGGCUGCAAUAACAAGAUCCAAGCAACUGUUUAUCAAAAACACAGGUCUCCGCUAAGUCGUAAGACGAUGUAUGGGGGCUGACGCCUGCCCAGUGCCAGAAGGUUAAAGAAGUUGGUUAGCAUUAGCGAAGCUGAUAACUGAAGCCCUGGUGAACGGCGGCCGUAACAAUAACGGUCCUAAGGUAGCGAAAUUCCUUGUCGGGUAAGUUCCGACCCGCACGAAAGGCGUAAUGAUUUGGAUACUGUCUCGGAGAGGGGCUCGGUGAAAUAGACUUGUCUGUGAAGAUGCGGACUACCUGCACCAGGACAGAAAGACCCUAUGAAGCUUUACUGUAACUUGAAAUUGAAAUUGGACUUUAGUCGCGCAGCAUAGGUGGGAGGCGUUGAAAAUAAUCUUGCGGGAAUAUUUGAGCCAUCAGUGAGAUACCACUCUUCUAAUGUUAGAUUUCUAACUUUGAACCAUUAUCUGGUCAAAGGACAGUUUCAGGCGGGCAGUUUGACUGGGGCGGUCGCCUCCUAAAUGGUAGCGGAGGCGUACAAAGGUUUCCUCUGAACGGGUAGAAAUCGUAUCUAGAGUGUAAAGGCAUAAGGAAGCUUGACUGUGAGACCUACAAGUCGAACAGGGACGAAAGUCGGUCUUAGUGAUCUGACGGUACUGAGUGGAAAGGCCGUCACUCAACGGAUAAAAGUUACUCUAAGGAUAACAGGCUGAUCUCCCCCAAGAGUUCACAUCGACGGGGAGGUUUGGCACCUCGAUGUCGGCUCAUCGCAUCCUGGGGCGGUAGUACGUCCCAAGGGUUGGGCUGUUCGCCCAUGAGAGCGGUACGCGAGCUGGGUUCAGAACGUCGUGAGACAGUUCGGUCCAUAUCCGGUGUAGGCGUUAGAAUAUUGAGAGGAGCCUUCUUUAGUACGAGAGGACCGAGAAGGACAUACCUAUGGUGUACCAGUUAUCGUGCCAACGGUAAACGCUGGGUAGCUAAGUAUGGAGUGGAUAACCGCUGAAAGCAUCUAAGUGGGAAGCCCACCUCAAGAUGAGUAUUCUC
Molecule: ribosomal RNA, 1242 nt
Filed under: metagenome
Description: bacterial LSU rRNA
Rfam family: Bacterial large subunit ribosomal RNA
Source: RNAcentral